RNAcentral lists this ribosomal RNA (253 nucleotides) under uncultured bacterium. Its description in RNAcentral is "partial 16S ribosomal RNA". It matches the Rfam family "Bacterial small subunit ribosomal RNA", at positions 524 to 776 of the family's 1533-position model. The record is from RNAcentral.
UACGUAGGGGGCUAGCGUUGUUCGGAAUUACUGGGCGUAAAGCGCACGUAGGCGGUUCGAUCAGUCAGGGGUGAAAUCCCAGGGCUCAACCCUGGAACUGCCUUUGAUACUGUCGAUCUGGAGUAUGGAAGAGGUGAGUGGAAUUCCGAGUGUAGAGGUGAAAUUCGUAGAUAUUCGGAGGAACACCAGUGGCGAAGGCGGCUCACUGGUCCAUUACUGACGCUGAGGUGCGAAAGCGUGGGGAGCAAACAGG